Non-coding RNA from Pelobates cultripes (western spadefoot toad), 203 nucleotides. The record is from the annotation of a GenBank genome assembly. Lineage: Eukaryota; Metazoa; Chordata; Amphibia; Anura; Pelobatidae.
GCGGUAUCCACUGCAGAACUGUACCUUCUACACCCUCCUUCAUAAAAUGAAAUUAGUUUCACCUGACUUGAUGUCUUUCAUGAAAUCAUGUUGCUUCAUACUAAUACCACUGCUGUUCAAACGGAUUUAUGGAAUCUUAUCCCUUAAUAACCUUUCACACAAUUUCCCACCCAAGUUCACAGGUCUAUAUUUUCUGGAUUGAG